This 254-nucleotide ribosomal RNA is filed under the name uncultured bacterium. RNAcentral's name for it is "partial 16S ribosomal RNA". It matches the Rfam family "Bacterial small subunit ribosomal RNA", at positions 524 to 776 of the family's 1533-position model. The record is from RNAcentral.
UACGGAGGAUGCAAGCGUUAUCCGGAAUGAUUGGGCGUAAAGCGCUCGUAGGCGGUUCAGUAAGUCGGGUGUGAAACCUCCAGGCUCAACCUGGAGACGCCACCCGAUACUGCUGUGACUAGAGUCCAGUAGGGGAGCGUGGAAUUCCUGGUGUAGCGGUGAAAUGCGCAGAUAUCAGGAGGAACACCGGUGGCGAAGGCGGGUCUCUGGGCAACAACUGACGCUGAGGAGCGAAAGCGUGGGGAGCGAACAGG